RNAcentral lists this unclassified non-coding RNA (304 nucleotides) under uncultured fungus. RNAcentral's name for it is "sequence contains ITS1". The record is from RNAcentral. Lineage: Eukaryota; Fungi.
GAUUCGAACAACAGCGACAGCACGAUGCCGAGCGUGGUCAGCACCGCGAUCAGAGAAGCCAGCAGCAGCACCGCCAUCGUCAGCCGCUCGACCCGGGUGCGGGCGCGGAACUGCGGCGACACGCGGCUGUAGGCGAAGGCGCCGCCGGCGAAGGCGACGAUCAGCGCGAUGGCGAGACCUAUCCAGCCAUAAUAAGCGAUCGCCCGCUCGUAGACGGGGGCAAGAACGAGCGCCUGCGCCUGAAAUGCGGUCUCGGCCUGGCCGGUCGCGAGCGCAUAGGCUUCACGCAGAAUCGCCUGGCGCU